This is a long non-coding RNA of Solanum dulcamara, 305 nucleotides long. RefSeq lists it as uncharacterized. Lineage: Eukaryota; Viridiplantae; Streptophyta; Magnoliopsida; Solanales; Solanaceae. The transcript has 4 exons. The record is from RefSeq and is a predicted model, not a curated record.
GAUCUGGUGUCUCACGAGAUGGAUUGGUGUUGAUGGGAGAAAGAUAUGCGACAUCAAAAUACAGCCAUUCAGAUAUGCAUGCUUUCCUAGCUAGCUUUGGCUUUAAAGGAGAAGCUCUUUCUGACGUUUCUUUUUGGCAAUUCCAAAACUUAUGGGAGUCCAAAUGGAUAUCGUAAGGUUUUGAAGGGUGGCAAGUGUUUGUACCUUGGAAUUGAUGACCGUAGAGAAGAUGUUGGUACAACAGUCAGUUUUUUGUGAUGUAUUUUACAACCAACCUUUUUCGAAGGGUGCAAAUGCAUUCCUAG